RNAcentral lists this ribosomal RNA (468 nucleotides) under uncultured bacterium. RNAcentral describes it as "partial 16S ribosomal RNA". It matches the Rfam family "Bacterial small subunit ribosomal RNA", at positions 28 to 507 of the family's 1533-position model. The record is from RNAcentral.
GACGAACGCUGGCGGCGUGCUUAACACAUGCAAGUCGAACGGAAAGGCCCUGCUUUUGUGGGGUGCUCGAGUGGCGAACGGGUGAGUAACACGUGAGUAACCUGCCCUUGACUUUGGGAUAACUUCAGGAAACUGGGGCUAAUACCGGAUAGGAGCUCCUGCUGCAUGGUGGGGGUUGGAAAGUUUCGGCGGUUGGGGAUGGACUCGCGGCUUAUCAGCUUGUUGGUGGGGUAGUGGCUUACCAAGGCUUUGACGGGUAGCCGGCCUGAGAGGGUGACCGGCGACAUUGGGACUGAGAUACGGCCCAGACUCCUACGGGAGGCAGCAGUGGGGAAUAUUGCACAAUGGGCGGAAGCCUGAUGCAGCAGCGCCGCGUGCGGGAUGACGGCCUGCGGGUUGUAAACCGCUUUCGCCUGUGACGAAGCGUGAGUGACGGUAAUGGGUAAAGAAGCACCGGCUAACUACGUG